This 511-nucleotide long non-coding RNA is filed under the name Pongo abelii (Sumatran orangutan). RNAcentral describes it as "lincRNA". The record is from RNAcentral. Lineage: Eukaryota; Metazoa; Chordata; Mammalia; Primates; Hominidae.
AGUCUUCUGACAGUGGAGCCUGGUAACCACCACCUCCUCUCCAGGUCCUGUGUAUUGCUGGCUGGAGAAGGGUAGUUGACAAACUCCCACCCAGCACAGUGUGUAUGUCUGUCAAAAAUAGGAAACUGUGUCCGGUGGCGGCCGAGACGGGAGGAUCCUUUCAGGCCAAGAGCAGCCUGUUAACCUGGCGCGACCCCAUCUCUUUAGUCUCACCUCAGCUUCCCAGCUACUUGAACCCCGGUUCAAGGCUCCAGUGAGCUAUGACCCCACCACAGCACUCCAGCCUGCGAGACUGAGUUUCACACUUGUUGUUUAGGCUGGAGUUGCAAUCUCAGCUCACCACAACCUCUGCCUCCCAGAUUCAAGAAAUUCUCCUGCCUCAGCCUCCCAAGUAGCUGGGACUACAGGGGUGCAUCACCACGCCCAGCUGGGGUUUCGCUGUUGUCACCCAUGCUGGAGUGCAAUGGUGUGAUCCUGGCUCACGGCAAUCUCUGCCUCCCAGGUUCAAGUG